RNAcentral lists this ribosomal RNA (1437 nucleotides) under Triticum aestivum (bread wheat). RNAcentral describes it as "partial small subunit ribosomal RNA". The record is from RNAcentral. Lineage: Eukaryota; Viridiplantae; Streptophyta; Magnoliopsida; Poales; Poaceae.
UACUCAGCUCUUCGUAUGUUUGGAUGUGUGUGCUAUGUUCUUCUUGCCCCCCGAGAACGCACCAAACUGACUGCUCAGUUGGUUGAGUGUGUUUUCCUUGGCUACAGUGACGAGCACAAGGGCUAUCGAUGUUGGGAUCCAGUGGGCCGUCGCUUGCGCAUCUCGCGUGAAGUGACAUUUGAUGAGUCUCGUUCUUACUACCCACGUCCUUCUUCCUCGAGUUUCUCUGUGGACGACCUUUCUUUCCUUCUUCUUCCCAAUACACCCUGCUAUGUGCCUCAUGUGUCACCUCCUCCUCUGGCACCUCUCAUUCCUUCUCACUCACCACCGACACCAUCCUCUCCAUCCUCCUCCUCCACCUCUCUGCCAUCAUCUCUCGUCCGUCGCCCUCUCUCACCGUUUCCUCUUCACUAUACUCGUCGCUCUCGUCCUGAGGAUGUCUCCUCUGAUGAGCCUUCCACCUCUGGUUCACCUCUCACACCUCCCCCGGUUCACAACCUCCGUGCUCGGCCUCGCCCCCCGCCUGAUCGCUACUCCCCUGAUCGGUAUGGCCUCUCUGUUAUUGCUGAGCCCACUUCCUAUCGGACUGCCAUGACUCAGCCUGAAUGGCAGCUUGCGAUGGCCGAAGAGCUUGCUGCUCUGGAGCGCUCUGGCACCUGGGAUCUCGUUCCCCUUCCUUCCGGUGUCCGUCCCAUCACUUGCAAGUGGGUCUACAAGAUUAAGACUCGCUCCGAUGGUUCUCUUGAGCGCUACAAAGCUCGCCUUGUGGCCCGUGGUUUUCAGCAGGAGCAGGGGCGCGAUUAUGAUGAGACAUUCGCUCCUGUGGCCCACAUGACCACUGUCCGCACUCUUCUUGCUGUGGCCUCUGUUCGUCAAUGGUCUAUCUCUCAACUUGAUGUUCAGAACGCUUUUCUAAAUGGCGAGUUGCGUGAGGAGGUUUAUAUGCAGCCACCCCCAGGGUACUAUGCUCCUGAUGGUUUGGUCUGUAGACUCCGCCGCUCCCUCUAUGGUCUCAAACAGGCCCCUCGCGCCUGGUUUGAGCGCUUUACCUCUGUGGUGACUGCCGCUAGGUUCUUGCCCAGUGAUCAUGAUCCCGCGUUGUUUGUUCACACGUCUCCUCGUGGUCGGACUCUUCUCCUUCUCUAUGUUGAUGACAUGAUCAUCACUGGCGACGACUCUGAAUACAUUGCCUUCGUUAAGGCUCGCUUUCGCGACCAGUUUCUCAUGACUGAUCUUGGUCCCCUUCGCUAUUUUCUUGGGAUUGAGAUCUCCUCGACCUCUGAUGGCUUCUACAUCUCCCAAGAAAAAUAUAUUCAGGGUCUUCUUGCUCGCGCUGCUCUUGGUGAUGAGCGCACUGUUGUAACUCCCAUGGAGCUCAAUGUUCAGCUUCAUGCCUCUGAUGGUGACCCUCUCCCUAAUCCCACUCGCUAUCAUCAC